GAGUUUGCUCGUGGCUCAGGAUGAACGCUGGCGGCGUGCUUAACACAUGCAAGUCGAACGAAGCGCCUUAUUUGAUUUUCUUCGGAACUGAAGAUUUGGUGACUGAGUGGCGGACGGGUGAGUAACGCGUGGGUAACCUGCCCUGUACAGGGGGAUAACAAUCAGAAAUGACUGCUAAUACCGCAUAAGACCACAGCACCGCAUGGUGCAGGGGUAAAAACUCCGGUGGUACAGGAUGGACCCGCGUCUGAUUAGCUGGUUGGUGAGGUAACGGCUCACCAAGGCGACGAUCAGUAGCCGGCUUGAGAGAGUGAACGGCCACAUUGGGACUGAGACACGGCCCAAACUCCUACGGGAGGCAGCAGUGGGGAAUAUUGCACAAUGGGGGAAACCCUGAUGCAGCAACGCCGCGUGAGUGAAGAGUAUUCGGUAUGUAAAGCUCUAUCAGCAGGGAAGAAAGUGACGGUACCUGACUAAGAAGCCCGGCUAACUACGUGCCAGCCG
Molecule: ribosomal RNA, 504 nt
Filed under: uncultured microorganism
Description: bacterial SSU rRNA
Rfam family: Bacterial small subunit ribosomal RNA
Source: RNAcentral